This 623-nucleotide long non-coding RNA is filed under the name Rattus norvegicus (Norway rat). Its description in RNAcentral is "long non-coding RNA NONRATT032246". Lineage: Eukaryota; Metazoa; Chordata; Mammalia; Rodentia; Muridae. The record is from RNAcentral.
CUAAUAGUCAUGUUUGCAUGUGCCUGCACAUAGCCAUAGAGACAGCAUAGAGUAUAACAUACUGCAGAAGUAAGGGGGUCCUGGAACUCCCACCAUGGUUCCAGGUCGAUUCCAAAUGAAACAUCCUUUAACAACAACUACCACUCCCAGCAGGAAUGCUGGGACAGGAGAUCCAUCAGCAACCCACAGAACCAAGGGAACCCCUCGCUUUCAUAAGCUUUUAAAAGGAAAGGGCCUUUGACUCAGUCGGAGAACAGAUCUGACGUUGCUACACUAUACUCGUGGACAGUGGACAUUCGCUUUGGUUCAUCUGCAACACAGAGCGUGUAAUGAAAGUGGUCAGCGAGGGCUUCAAGCAUUAACGUCAACCUGCUAUGCUGAGAUCGAGUCUGUAGGUGGCAGCACAAACUCGGGUAUGGAGGAAAUGGCACCAAGUUUAGUUUUAGUGGCCUCAAGAAGACCUGGAUGCCGUAAAAAGACAGUAUUUUACUUUCUUCACUGCACCAUUUGGAGCCUUUUAAGAUCACAAAUAGUAACUUGAAACUAUAUUUGUGUCUCUAUAUUAUUCUUUCUUUAAAGAUUCAGACCUCACUACUUGCAAAACCACAGCUUGCCUAGAGAGG